This 236-nucleotide unclassified non-coding RNA is filed under the name Paraglomerales sp. Its description in RNAcentral is "partial contains 5.8S ribosomal RNA and internal transcribed spacer 2". The stretch from base 1 to 65 matches the Rfam family "5.8S ribosomal RNA", at positions 84 to 154 of the family's 154-position model. Lineage: Eukaryota; Fungi; Glomeromycota; Glomeromycetes; Paraglomerales. The record is from RNAcentral.
GUGAAUCAUCGAAUCUUUGAACGCAAAUUGCGCCUUUUUCGGAAGGCAUGUCUGUUUGAGGGCACCAUUUAACAAAUAAUGUGCUGUGUUUUUUGUUGCACACGUUGAUGAGCUUUCCAAGAAUUUUAAAUUUUUGGUUUCGCAUAAUGAACAGCGAGAAAGUUUUUUUCAGUUCGAGUGUCGUAAAAUCUUUGCUUUGGUUGUGAAAAUACUUAAUCGCGCUAUGGGUGUGGCAA